CUUCUGUUAUCUUCCAGCUCUCCUCCGCUCAUACUAAUUCUUUCUUUUAUAGAGUUAUUGUUCUUCUUGUUGCAAACUGUGCCAUUUCCCAGCUGCAGUUUUAAGUCCAUCCAAUAGAUUCCACAGUCCUAUAAAGUGAAGCACUAAGAAGAAGCUUAAAGUAAAACCCAAACAGAUUUGAAUUUAAAAUGUCAUGUUACCACUAUGAUCUAGAAGAAGGAGCUGAUAACUCUCAGCUACAGGUUAUUUGGCUUUUCUACUGAUGACAGGGGGUCUGAUCCUGCAGUUAUAAGAGUAUAAAAGCUCUGUGAGAGUUGACUUUAGCACAUCCUUACCAUUGUUUGGGGGUUUGAUUGAGCUCUUUCACACACUGUUGGAAGAAAGAAAACCAGGAUCCUUUAGAAGACAGAACAGUCUCCAUGCCCUCAAAGCUUUGGCUAGAGCAUUCCCGGAUGGAUAUACGGAACGAAAUAUCACUAUCUGAAAAGGUAUGAGAAACUCUUUCUAGAUGACAGCUCUAGAACUUCAUGCCUUUAGCAACCAGUGUGCAGAUUCUUCACAAGGAAAGGAUAACUUCAGUAUUUCGCUGUACACAGACCCAUCACCCACACUCAAGUCCUUACAGGCACUAACAGAUUCAAAAUGCCAGUUUGCUAGUUUUAACUCUCCUCUUUCCUCUGGAUUUAUUUUACUUAUCAUUAAAUGUGUAUCUUACUGUGGCACUCCCACAAUUUACACUUCUGGAUGUCUGAGGCUAAGAAGUUGGGUUGCAAACUGAUCUGAGAAGAAAGUGUUAAAGAAGUUUUGGAUCAGAAGAAGUUCCUGCUGUACCCUGAGCAAAACAAGCCAUAGGUGAGCAGUUAUGAGAUGAAGAGAAACCAGUCUGAAGCAGAUGCCAUUGUCAUGGGCUUCACCAUUGGAAGAGUGGUUAAGGUUCAGGCUCGUAUUGCUGAAAAUAAGCCAUCUAAAACCUAAACAAGUCAGAGAUGUACUGACAGAAAUGCAGGGGCUGUGUCCAUGCAUUCCACUCUGAGCAGGCGCACACACACACCUCAAUAUCUGCAGUAAUGCUUGUAUUCUUCACUGGUUUUGGCUGUUCUCUCUUCUUUCGUUGCUUCUUCCUACCCCAUUCCAAACUGGGAAUCUGAACAACUAGGGAGGACCCACUGGGGGCUCACCAAUAAUAAUGAGAUUGAAUAAGAAAUGUUCUGGUUUACAUUCUGUUUCUGCUCUGAGCUCAUUAAGGCCCUUUUGUUCCAAACCUUAGUAUCAGGAUUUCCCUUUGGCCACAAAGCUGUCAGGUUCACUUACUGCUCAGUUAUAAAAAAUGCAAAUCAAAGCAAAUAGCAAAAUGUAGCUAAAUUCUGCCUUUAAAACACAUCCAAAUUGUAUUUUACUGGGAAACAAAAACAUAUGAAAGGUGAAUCGCUGUGAAAGAGCCAGCCAUUAAAAUAAUUCUCUGGGUAGCUUUGAUGCUCAUUUUCUUCAGUUGUAAGCAUUCAGUGAUCCAUCAGCUGCAGAUAAAUGUGCUGAAAGCUUUUGCUGAAAUUACGACAAGGAAUAGAAGAAUCAGAGACAUAAGACGUCCAUAGCGCCCUGUGUUGAUAUCGCUGGUUCCAAUCCCUGUCAUAUGAAAUAACUGAUUUCUCUGAGAUUUUAAGGUUUCAACCUAAUUUUAAAAGGAAUUAGAGGGCAAAUCCCACUUCACCACCAUUCCCACUAUCAAAAGCUUCCUUGAUUCCUCAAGAACCUGGCCAUCGCCUGAAAUGUUUGCUUAAAGGGAACCUUCUUUCAGGCUGCUGGGCAAGCUUAGAGGUAUCUGUUCUGCCUUCUGGUUUCCUGCAGCCCAGUGAACACUGCUUUGGGGGAUUCCUCUGACACUCAUUUCCACAAGGAACUGAAAUGGUUGCCUGUAUGUGACAUAUAAAGAAAGGAAUUACACAGUGAUAUUGUUUUCCUAUGUGGAGGCUAAUGCCUAAUUUAAGACUUACAACCUAAUACCUACAGAUCAACUCACUGCUAAUUCUUCCUUUGCCUGAGAUUUUUAUGCAGAAGAGCAAUGAAGAAUUGGAAUGGAUUUGCAAAUCCAGAAGGAAGGAGUAACAAUGCCCUGGUCACAUCAGGAGGGUGCUUUCUGCUCCUAAUCCCAUAUCUGUCAAUGCCUUCUCCUGGUUUACCUGCGCUGCCUGCUUUGCCUAAGAGGCAGCAGCAGUUCAUAUGAGCAACUGUAUUUCCUGCAGCCACAGCAGGUCCUGCUCCAGUCUAAUCAGGGAUGACCUUCAGCUUUCUGGCACAUGGACCUAACAUGGGCAAAGAUCAACUCUGCUGAUUUAAGCAAACCCUUCUGCUCCCAUUAGGGAAGAAGCAGUGUUUGUACUUGCUGAUUAUUGCACAUUUGUUGAGGCUUUGUGGAAACAAACUUA
Molecule: long non-coding RNA, 2423 nt
Organism: Pezoporus flaviventris
Lineage: Eukaryota; Metazoa; Chordata; Aves; Psittaciformes; Psittacidae
Exons: 2
Source: RefSeq, a predicted model, not a curated record